UGAAUACGAGAUGCUACGGCGUCGAAGCAGUGUAUGUCAGACUUCCAAGAAAAGCUCGCAAUGUCAUAAAUAAAGAAUGCCUGUACCAUAACCGACACAGGUGGGUAGGUAGAGUAUACUAAGGGGCGCGAGAUAACUCUCUCUAAGGAACUCGGCAAAAUAACUCCGUAACUUCGGGAGAAGGAGUGCCUUCUUUAAGAAGGUUGCAAUAACAAGAUCCAAGCAACUGUUUAUCAAAAACACAGGUCUCCGCUAAGUCGUAAGACGAUGUAUGGGGGCUGACGCCUGCCCAGUGCCAGAAGGUUAAAGAAGUUGGUUAGCUUUUGCGAAGCUGAUGACUGAAGCCCUGGUGAACGGCGGCCGUAACUAUAACGGUCCUAAGGUAGCGAAAUUCCUUGUCGGGUAAGUUCCGACCCGCACGAAAGGCGUAAUGAUUUGGAUACUGUCUCGGAGAGGGACUCGGUGAAAUAGACUUGUCUGUGAAGAUGCGGACUACCUGCACCAGGACAGAAAGACCCUAUGAAGCUUUACUGUAACUUGAAAUUGAAAUUGGACUUUAUUUGCGCAGUAUAGGUGGAAGGCGUUGAAAGUAAUCUUGCGGGAUUAGUGGAGCCAUCAGUGAGAUACCACUCCUAUAAUGUUAGAUUUCUAACUUUGGAUCAUGAUCUGGUCAAAGAACAGUUUCAGGCGGGCAGUUUGACUGGGGCGGUCGCCUCCCAAAUGGUAACGGAGGCGUACAAAGGUUUCCUCUGAACGGGUAGAAAUCGUAUCUAGAGUGUAAAGGCAUAAGGAAGCUUGACUGUGAGACCUACAAGUCGAGCAGGGACGAAAGUCGGUCUUAGUGAUCUGACGGUGCUGAGUGGAAAGGCCGUCACUCAACGGAUAAAAGUUACUCUACGGAUAACAGGCUGAUCUCCCCCAAGAGUUCACAUCGACGGGGAGGUUUGGCACCUCGAUGUCGGCUCAUCGCAUCCUGGGGCGGUAGUACGUCCCAAGGGUUGGGCUGUUCGCCCAUGAAAGCGGUACCGAGCUGGGUUCAGAACGCCGUGAGACAGUUCGGUCCAUAUCCGGUGUAGGCGUUAGAAUAUUGAGAGGAGCCUUCUUUAGUACGAGAGGACCGAGAAGGACAUACCUCUGGUGUACCAGUUAUCGUGCCAACGGUAAACGCUGGGUAGCUAUGUAUGGAGAGGAUAACCGCUGAAAGCAUCUAAGUGGGAAGCCCACCUCAAGAUGAGUAUUCUCA
RNAcentral lists this ribosomal RNA (1243 nucleotides) under metagenome. RNAcentral describes it as "bacterial LSU rRNA". It matches the Rfam family "Bacterial large subunit ribosomal RNA", at positions 1564 to 2816 of the family's 2925-position model. The record is from RNAcentral.